RNAcentral lists this ribosomal RNA (916 nucleotides) under uncultured soil bacterium. Its description in RNAcentral is "bacterial SSU rRNA". It matches the Rfam family "Bacterial small subunit ribosomal RNA", at positions 56 to 969 of the family's 1533-position model. The record is from RNAcentral.
UGCAAGUCGAACGCGCAGUUAUCUGUAGCAAUACAGGGGGCGGGCGCGUGGCGAACGGGUGCGUAACACGUGGAUAACCUUCCUUCAGGUGGGGAAUAACCCCGCGAAAGCGGGGCUAAUACCGCAUAACAUGACGGUGGCACAUGCUGUUGUCUUCAAAGCCGCAAGGCGCCAGAAGAGGGAUCCGCGGCCGAUUAGCUAGUUGGCGAGGUAAUGGCUCACCAAGGCAAUGAUCGGUAGCCGGACUGAGAGGUUGACCGGCCACACUGGAACUGAGACACGGUCCAGACUCCUACGGGAGGCAGCAGUGGGGAAUCUUGCGCAAUGGGCGAAAGCCUGACGCAGCAACGCCGCGCGGGGGAUGAAGCUUCUCGGAGUGUAAACCCCUUUCGACCCGGACGAAUGCCCGCAAGGGCUUGACGGUACGGGUAUAAGAAGCCCCGGCUAACUACGUGCCAGCAGCCGCGGUAAAACGUAGGGGGCCAGCGUUGCUCGGAAUUACUGGGCGUAAAGGGUCCGUAGGCGGUGUGGCAAGUCGGAAGUGAAAUCUCUGGGCUUAACUCAGAGGCUGCUUCCGAAACUGCUGUGCUAGAGUGCGAGAGAGGCGAGUGGAAUUGCGGGUGUAGCGGUGAAAUGCGUAGAUAUCCGCAGGAACAUCCGAGGCGAAAGCGGCUCGCUGGAUCGCAACUGACGCUGAGGGACGAAAGCUAGGGGAGCAAACAGGAUUAGAUACCCUGGUAGUCCUAGCCCUAAACCAUCAGGACUUGGGGUUUGCCCUGUACGGGGCAAGUCCCGUAGCUAACGCGUUAAGUCCUGCGCCUGGGGAGUACGGUCGCAAGGCUGAAACUCAAAGGAAUUGACGGGGGCCCGCACAAGCGGUGGAACAUGUGGUUCAAUUCGACGCAACGCGAAGAAC